RNAcentral lists this ribosomal RNA (253 nucleotides) under uncultured bacterium. Its description in RNAcentral is "partial 16S ribosomal RNA". It matches the Rfam family "Bacterial small subunit ribosomal RNA", at positions 524 to 776 of the family's 1533-position model. The record is from RNAcentral.
UACGGAGGGUGCGAGCGUUGUCCGGAAUCAUUGGGCGUAAAGGGCGCGUAGGUGGCCCAGUUAGCGUGCGGUGAAAGCUCGGGGCUCAACCCCGAGUCGGCCGUGCGAACUGCUGGGCUCGAGCACUGUAGAGGCAGGCGGAAUUCCGGGUGUAGCGGUGGAAUGCGUAGAGAUCCGGAAGAACACCGGUGGCGAAGGCGGCCUGCUGGGCAGUGGCUGACACUGAGGCGCGACAGCGUGGGGAGCAAACAGG